RNAcentral lists this ribosomal RNA (490 nucleotides) under uncultured bacterium. RNAcentral describes it as "partial 16S ribosomal RNA". It matches the Rfam family "Bacterial small subunit ribosomal RNA", at positions 30 to 507 of the family's 1533-position model. The record is from RNAcentral.
AUUGAACGCUGGCGGCAGGCCUAACACAUGCAAGUCGAACGGUAACAGGAAGAAGCUUGCUUCUUUGCUGACGAGUAGCGGACGGGUGAGUAAUGUCUGGGAAACUGCCUGAUGGAGGGGGAUAACUACUGGAAACGGUAGCUAAUACCGCAUAACGUCGCAAGACCAAAGAGGGGGACCUUCGGGCCUCUUGCCAUCGGAUGUGCCCAGAUGGGAUUAGCUAGUAGGUGGGGUAACGGCUCACCUAGGCGACGAUCCCUAGCUGGUCUGAGAGGAUGACCAGCCACACUGGAACUGAGACACGGUCCAGACUCCUACGGGAGGCAGCAGUGGGGAAUAUUGCACAAUGGGCGCAAGCCUGAUGCAGCCAUGCCGCGUGUAUGAAGAAGGCCUUCGGGUUGUAAAGUACUUUCAGCGGGGAGGAAGGGAGUAAAGUUAAUACCUUGGCUCAUUGACGUUACCCGCAGAAGAAGCACCGGCUAACUCCGUG